UGUGUUCGUUCGUCAUCCCGCAUUCGAUCUGCGCAUCGCCGCCUGACCGGCAGCUAUUCGGGCGCGGGCGCCUAGGAUCCGGUGCCCCUCCUCGGACACGUGGUCCGCCGGUGCAGCGCCGCUAGGAGGAAGACAACGAGCGCGGCGGCGAGCAGCGUGGGAGGCGGCGCAGGGCAGCUGUGGCUUCCGGCGGCAAGGUGGGGCAGCAGCUUUGGGCGGCGCAGGCAUGGCAGAGUCGAUUUGCAAGGUUCUAGGAUAAGUGCAGGCAGUCAUGGUGGUCGUGGGCUUCUGAGGUCGCGACCACUGGUGCCCUACAGAGAAGGCCCUCUAUCUUAUGAGCCCGCAGUGGUGUGUAUGUGCAAUAUAAAGGCACCACGGUGGAUUUCAUGGAGUGAUGAUAAUCCAGGUCGGAGGUACUACAGAUGCAGCCGAGCAAGGACUGAAGGGGACUGUGGCUUCUAUGUGUGGUUUGAUCUUGAGCACAAAACAUUUAUGAAGAAUUUACUUUUCGAUCUCCGUAAUGCUGUUUGGGAGUUGAGGAGCAAAGCGGAGGAUAUUACUGAGCUGAAGCAAAUCAAUGAAAUGGUGUCUAGUGAGAAUAAAGAUAAGGUUUUAGUCCUAAAGGCACAAGAGAGGGACCUGGAGGAGAAGAAUAAGCAAUUGGUACUCCUGGCUAACAAGAUCAGUGCAGGGAGUAGGUGUAGUUUAUUCUGUUGUGGCUUUGUAAUGAUGCUUGUUGGCUUGUUCUUUGGCCUGAUGUUAGGUGCCAUGUGACAUAUCCAUAUAACGUGUCUGAUCAUAAUAUGCACAUGUUUGGGGAGAAGGUUUUGAAUGUCCUGAUAGAAAUAAGUUAAAUAUUUGAUGUAUGGCACGUGUUCAGUAGAUCAUAAUAUCAUACUUGAACACCUAUGGCACUUCAAAGUUCAAUGGUAAAAGAUUGGAUCAAGCA
Molecule: long non-coding RNA, 949 nt
Organism: Panicum virgatum (switchgrass)
Lineage: Eukaryota; Viridiplantae; Streptophyta; Magnoliopsida; Poales; Poaceae
Exons: 3
Source: RefSeq, a predicted model, not a curated record